AACGAACGCUGGCGGCAGGCCUAACACAUGCAAGUCGAGCGAGCAUUUCGGUGCUAGCGGCGGACGGCUGAGUAACGCGUGGGAACGUGCCCUUUUCUGCGGAAUAGUCCUGGGAAACUGGGGGUAAUACCGCAUACGCCCUUUUGGGGAAAGAUUUAUCGGAGCAGGAUCGGCCCGCGUUGGAUUCGGUAGUUGGUGGGGGAAUGGCCCACCAAGCCGAGGAUGCAUAGCUGGUUGGUGAGGAUGAUCAGCCACACUGGGGGUGCGACACGGCCCAGAAUCCGACGGGAGGGAGGAGAGGGGAAUCUUAGACAAGGGGGGCAACCCUGAUCGCGCCAUGCCGGGUGAGUGAUGAAUGCCGUAGGGUAGUAAAGCUCUUUCAGCUGGGAAGAGAAUGACGGUACCAGCAGAAGAAGCCCCGGCUAACUACGUG
RNAcentral lists this ribosomal RNA (433 nucleotides) under uncultured bacterium. RNAcentral's name for it is "partial 16S ribosomal RNA". It matches the Rfam family "Bacterial small subunit ribosomal RNA", at positions 29 to 507 of the family's 1533-position model. The record is from RNAcentral.